This 333-nucleotide ribosomal RNA is filed under the name Triticum aestivum (bread wheat). RNAcentral describes it as "partial small subunit ribosomal RNA". Lineage: Eukaryota; Viridiplantae; Streptophyta; Magnoliopsida; Poales; Poaceae. The record is from RNAcentral.
AUGGUCCUAUCGGUGUGGAAGGUGUGGGCUCCUCCGCGGUGCAAAUUUUUCGCAUGGCUUGUACUUCAAGAUAGAAUCUGGACAUCGGACCGCCUUGCUCGACGUGGGUGGCCCAACUGCGAGCUAUGCCCGCUUUGCAAGCAAAGCCCAGAGACGGCAGCCCACUUACUGUUCCAAUGUCGCUACACCCUUCGUGUGUGGAACGAUAUUCUUCGCUGGCUUGGCAUGGAUCACACUCAGGCUACUACUUGGUCAGCGAGGAGCUCGGUGUGGGAAUGGUGGAAUGGAAACGUAUAUCUUCGUUCUGAUCCCCCAAGACGCUCGCCUCACUAA